CCAGGCACCGAUCAGAGCCUCAUGGCGCUCCUACCAGCUGCCGAUGGUCCAGCAGACCUACUCGGCCCCCAUCAAGAGCCAGCAGCUCGAGAGCCAAGUCUACUCGCAGGCACCAAUCAAGGAGGCCCAGGCCACCUACUAGGCUCCAGUCGAGAGGCACGACAUCGCGUGACCAGAGAGAAAACACUCUGGUCUGGAAAUCCAUGACAGCAUUCGAUUAAGAUUAUACAUGACAACAGACUUUUGAUAAAUAAAAUCAAGACGCCAGUCUGACCUGCAUAAAAACU
Molecule: long non-coding RNA, 287 nt
Filed under: Olea europaea subsp. europaea
Lineage: Eukaryota; Viridiplantae; Streptophyta; Magnoliopsida; Lamiales; Oleaceae
Source: RNAcentral